This 989-nucleotide ribosomal RNA is filed under the name human gut metagenome. Its description in RNAcentral is "bacterial LSU rRNA". It matches the Rfam family "Bacterial large subunit ribosomal RNA", at positions 1938 to 2925 of the family's 2925-position model. The record is from RNAcentral.
AACUAUAACGGUCCUAAGGUAGCGAAAUUCCUUGUCAGGUAAGUUCUGACCCGCACGAAAGGCGUAACGAUUUGGGCGCUGUCUCAGCUGUAGACUCGGUGAAGUCUUAGUACCUGUGAAGAUGCAGGUUACCCGCGACUAGACGGAAAGACCCCAUGGAGCUUCACUGCAGGUUGAUAUUGGGAUUUGAUGCAGCAUGUACAGGAUAGGUAGGAGGCAAAGAGAUGGAUACGCCAGUAUUCAAGGAGCCGCUGUUGGGAUACUACCCCUGUUGUAUUGGAUUUCUAACCGGACGACGUAGAACCGUUGACGGGACAGUGUCAGUCGGGCAGUUUGACUGGGGCGGUCGCCUCCCAAAGAGUAACGGAGGCGCCCAAAGAUACCCUCAGCUUGGAUGGAAACCAAGCGCAGAGUGCAAAGGCAAAAGGGUGUUUGACUGCGAGACCCACAAGUCGAGCAGGGACGAAAGUCGGGCUUAGUGAUCCGGCGGUGCUGAAUGGAAAGGCCGUCGCUCAACGGAUAAAAGCUACCCUGGGGAUAACAGGCUGAUCUCCCCCAAGAGUCCACAUCGACGGGGAGGUUUGGCACCUCGAUGUCGGCUCAUCGCAUCCUGGGGCUGUAUUCGGUCCCAAGGGUUUGGCUGUUCGCCAAUUAAAGCGGUACGCGAGCUGGGUUCAGAACGUCGUGAGACAGUUCGGUCCCUAUCUGUCGUGGGCGCAGGAAAUUUGAGAAGAGCUGUCCUCAGUACGAGAGGACCGGGAUGGACGCAUCAAUGGUGGACCAGUUGUCACGCCAGUGGCAUAGCUGGGUAGCUAAAUGCGGAAGGGAUAAACGCUGAAGGCAUCUAAGUGUGAAACCCACUUCAAGAUGAGAUUUCCCAUUGCGCAAGCAAGUAAGACCCCUUAAAGACGAUAAGGUAGAUAGGUCAGGAGUGUAAGCAUGGUGACAUGUUAAGCGGACUGAUACUAAUAGGUCGAGGGCUUGACCGA